Long non-coding RNA from Penaeus chinensis, 514 nucleotides. RefSeq lists it as uncharacterized. NCBI's taxonomy places the organism in Eukaryota, Metazoa, Arthropoda, Malacostraca, Decapoda, Penaeidae. The transcript has 2 exons. The record is from RefSeq and is a predicted model, not a curated record.
UCCCAGAUCGCCGUCAUCGCGUGCCUGGCUGUAGUGGCCGUAGCUGAUCAGGCCCCCUACCACCCACCUCCUACCCCCUACCACCCUCAACCUCGGCCUUACCACGGCGAACCAGACUACCCUGAUGUCCCACCCAAGUACACCUACAACUACGGCGUCGCCGACGGCUACUCCGGCGUCAACCUCGGUCACUCAGAAGCCCGCGACGGCUACAAGACCGAGGGCAGCUACACCGUCGACCUCCCCGACGGCCGCAAGCAGAUCGUCAACUACGUGGACAACGGCGACGGUCUUGUAGCUCAGGUCACCUACGAGGGCGAGGCUCAGUACCCCGAGCACACGCCCGCCUACAGGCCCGCUCCCCCCGCCUACCCUGCUCCCCAUGCAUAGAGACAUGUUGACAGUAUUGGACAUAUCAAAUCAUUUUCAAGUUUGCUUACUCAUCUUCAUUCUUAACAGAUAUGUUUGUUUGUUACUGUUUUUUAAUACAUUAAUAAACUGUUGAUUGUGUGAA